GCUCCGUGGCCCGCGCGCAUCCGCCGCCAUCCGCCGCCGCUGCUGCCUCCCGGGCUCCCCGCCCAUCAGACCCCGCCGCGGCUCCUGCUGCGCGGAUCCAGAGGGACUCAGGAAGCCGCCAGGAAGAAGAAAGUACAUUCAAGGGACCUAGCACCGUAAUUAGCGCGGUUCCGGUUAAUUAAGGCUACCGAGGCCUCGCCCCUCGUCUGCCAGGGGAGAAAUUCCAUGGGAAUGCCGUGACUGAGACACGGAGCUCCGUCCUGGCAGGAGUUACCUGUCGGCAGCAGUGCCCAGGGAUCUGUCCAGAGGCACGGAAGGAGAGGCCAGAGCACCGUGGCAAAUUCCCUGUGGAAAAACGAGGAGGAUUCUCGACACCAGAAUCGAAUUAAACAUGACCCCGUGGUUUUAACGUG
Taeniopygia guttata (zebra finch) is the source of this 413-nucleotide non-coding RNA. NCBI's taxonomy places the organism in Eukaryota, Metazoa, Chordata, Aves, Passeriformes, Estrildidae. The record is from RefSeq and is a predicted model, not a curated record.